UGUUGUCUCUCUCUUUCUUUCUCUCUGUCUCUCUCUCUCUCUCUCUCUGUCUCUCUCUGUGUGUCUGUCUUCUGUCUUACUCUCUUUCUCUGCCUGUCUGUCUGUCUCUCUCUCUGUCUGUCUCUCUGUCUCUGUCUGUUUUUCUCUCUCUCUCUGUCUCUCUCUCUUUUUGUCUGUUUCUCUCUGUCUCUCUCUGUCCAUCUCUGUCUUUCUCUGUCUCUCUCUCUCUUUCUCUGUCUGUCUUUCUCUCUGUGUGUAUCUUUGUCUCUCUCUGUCUGUCUCUCUCUGUCUCUGUCUCUCUCUCUCUCUCUCUCGCUAUCUCCCUUCCUCUCUUUCUUUGCAAAAUAAGCUCAAGUAGAUCUAAUCUAAUCCAUUACCAAGGCCUGAAUUCUUAAUUUUAGACAUCCCAGAUUUGAUCUCCCUACAGAAUGCUGUACAGAACUGGCGAAUUGAUUUCUGGACUUGGAAACCUCAUAGAUACUACAUAUUAAUA
Molecule: long non-coding RNA, 493 nt
Filed under: Homo sapiens (human)
Lineage: Eukaryota; Metazoa; Chordata; Mammalia; Primates; Hominidae
Description: HSALNT0320518
Source: RNAcentral